GACGAACGCUGGCGGCGUGCUUAACACAUGCAAGUCGAACGGACAGACCCUGCGUUUGUGGGUUGCUCGAUUGGCGAACGGGUGAGUAACACGUGAGUAACCUGCCCUUGACUGUGGGAUAACUUCAGGGAACUGGGGCUAAUACCGGAUAGGAGCUCCUGAUGCAUGUUGGGGGAUGGAAAAAUUCGGCGGUUGUGGAUGGACUCGAGGCUUAUGAGCUUGAUGGGGUGGUAGUGGCGUACCAAGGCUUUGACGGGUAGCCUGCCUGAGAGGGUGACCGGCGACAAGGGGACUGCGAUACGGCGCAGACGCCAAUGGGACGCAGAAGUGGGGAAUCUGGCACAAUGGGCGGAAGCCUGAUGCAGAAACGCCGCGUGCGGGAUGAUGGCCUUCGGGUUGUAAACCGCUUUCGCCUGUGACGAAGCGUGAGUGACGGUAAUGGGUAAAGAAGCCCCGGCUAACUACGUG
This 468-nucleotide ribosomal RNA is filed under the name uncultured bacterium. RNAcentral describes it as "partial 16S ribosomal RNA". It matches the Rfam family "Bacterial small subunit ribosomal RNA", at positions 28 to 507 of the family's 1533-position model. The record is from RNAcentral.